CAAUAGCGUAUAUUAAAGUUGUUGCAGUUAGAACGCUCGUAGUCGGAUUUCGGGGCGGGCCGACCGGUCUGCCGAUGGGUACGCACUGGUCGGCGCGUCCUUCCUUCCGGAGACCGUCCCUACUCUUAACUGAGCGGGGGCGGGAGACGGAACUUUUACUUUGAAAAAAUCAGAGUGUUUCAAGCAGGCAGUGCGCUCUUGCAUGGAUUAGCAUGGGAUAAUGAAAUAGGACUUUGGUGCUAUUUUGUUGGUUUCGAACACCGAAGUAAUGAUUAAAAGGGACAGUCAGGAGCACUCGUAUUCCGCCGAGAGAGGUGAAAUUCUCAGACCAGCGGAAGACGAACCACUGCGAAAGCAUUUGCCAGGGAUGUUUUCACUGA
RNAcentral lists this ribosomal RNA (380 nucleotides) under uncultured eukaryote. RNAcentral's name for it is "partial 18S ribosomal RNA". It matches the Rfam family "Eukaryotic small subunit ribosomal RNA", at positions 592 to 976 of the family's 1831-position model. The record is from RNAcentral.